UUUUGAUAAAAGUCCAACAUACUCUUUUUGUUGGAAUUUCUUUUUUAGUACAGCAUAAUUUUUUUGUUGGAUUAAGUUAAGUCUAAAACUUCAAAUUUUGUUUACGUCAUUCGGAGAUGACAUCAUUUAACAAUAUUGGAAUGGGAACUCUUCUAAUUGGGUUAAGUCUAAAACUUCAAAUUUUGUUUAUGUCAUUCCGAUAUAACGUCACAUAAGAGACAAUCUUGAGGCAAAACAAUAUAACACUAGUCCUCCAUCCUCCUCCCUAGCGAAUGAAAAAAAAAAAAAAGAAGAAGGCAAAAACCUAAUCUUGGAAUUAAUCCCACAAAAACCAAAACAUCAAACCAAGAAGACAAAGUUAUUAAUAAAAUUAAGACUUUUUCGUUGCCAAAGUCCCUGAAUUUAGACCUAAAU
Molecule: long non-coding RNA, 414 nt
Filed under: Prunus persica (peach)
Lineage: Eukaryota; Viridiplantae; Streptophyta; Magnoliopsida; Rosales; Rosaceae
Description: long non-coding RNA (PPER_LNC007300)
Source: RNAcentral